CAGUAGCCGCGGGAAUACGUAGGGUGCGAGCGUUAAUCGGAAUUACUGGGCGUAAAGCGUGCGCAGGCGGUUAUAUAAGACAGAUGUGAAAUCCCCGGGCUCAACCUGGGACCUGCAUUUGUGACUGUAUAGCUAGAGUACGGUAGAGGGGGAUGGAAUUCCGCGUGUAGCAGUGAAAUGCGUAGAUAUGCGGAGGAACACCGAUGGCGAAGGCAAUCCCCUGGACCUGUACUGACGCUCAUGCACGAAAGCGUGGGGAGCAAACAGGAUUAGAUACCCGUGUAGUCCCUGUCUCUUAUAC
RNAcentral lists this ribosomal RNA (301 nucleotides) under uncultured bacterium. RNAcentral's name for it is "partial 16S ribosomal RNA". It matches the Rfam family "Bacterial small subunit ribosomal RNA", at positions 509 to 807 of the family's 1533-position model. The record is from RNAcentral.